Brienomyrus brachyistius is the source of this 9950-nucleotide long non-coding RNA. RefSeq lists it as uncharacterized. The record is from RefSeq and is a predicted model, not a curated record. Lineage: Eukaryota; Metazoa; Chordata; Actinopteri; Osteoglossiformes; Mormyridae. The transcript is spliced from 2 exons.
UGUCCACUUACCUUUCUGGACUUUGUCGAGGGAGGUUAAUAAGGAACCAAAACCUAGCACAGCACCACAUUGUAAGUAAGAAACGGACACACCAGAGCAGUUUGCACUUCAUUUAUAAAACAUCAGUGUUCUUUUACAUCAGUCACCUGCAGUAAAACAUGCAAAAUAUGCAUACAGGUACUAUGGAGGUUGAAUACAAUGUCUACAGAAGCCUGUCAUUAUUUAGACAAUGCUAAAUGGAUUCUUAUAGAACAAGAACAAAGGAAGAUAACAUAAAGAUGAUUAGAUUAAAUAUAAGCUUUCAUUUUGCUUAUAUUACUGUGGAGAUUAUGGUAUUAUGGAAUAUUUGACUUCAGAAUGAUCCUGGAGUCCUGUUUCCUCCCUCGGCUCAGACUCGGUGAGCAGGAAGAAACAGGAGAAGCGAAGGUCAGGGAUGCCAGGCACGCGUGUUUUUCCAGUCGCUCUGCUGCUUCUUCAAAACGGGGAGUUGAACCUGUAACUGUGGAGCUGCCGGCAGAAACACCUGACAUGUGCCACGGGAAAAGCCUGCCCUUCAGCGCGCCGAGCGGGUUUUCUGUUCAGACCCCGAAAUAAGAGCACUGAUACUGAAGGUCUGCAGAAUGGCGAUCUUGGCAGAUGGCAAUAAAUUUAACAGCCCCAUGGAAUGACUUUGAAUGUUCCAUCGCUGGCAUGUGACGUGAAAGCGAAUGGUUUUCUGCAGACAUCAGCAUGCCGUGUCAUCACCGUGGUGACGAGGGUGUUCUAAUGAAGCAGUACGCUAAGCCGGGAUCUUCUGUAAACAGCCUGGCCCUAAGGAUCCAUGGUGUUUUCCAGGCAUGCUAGUGCUGGAUCACUGUACAAUGUGUUCCUUGUUACGCCUGCUGUGGACACCAUCCAGGGAUGUGAGUAUGCUGUGCUGGACGAUUUCUUCUGCUAACGACGCAAAGACGUUUGCAUCCUGUUGCCGGAGGGCAGCUGCUGUAAAUCGGUAGCAUUUGAAAACCAAGCGCAUGCGGACCUGCUUCUGUCCCAGUCUUUGCUCUCAUUUCAUUUCUCCUUCCCACAGCAUCCAUGCGGUAGGUGCUGUAAGCAGCUUUUGGUCGUGGAACUGUCAUAACCUUAAGGCUCUAAUUAGCAUAAAAUCUGUUUAUUAACAUAAAUCUGAAGCCAUGAGCUAAAGUUCAACAAUUACUGCAAAAAUAUCUAUCCAUCCAGUGGCUGAAUAAUACAUUGGCCAUCCAAGGGUACAGGCUAGGGUCCCAGCAAAAUCGUGUCCCACCAAGCAAAAUCAGGGCCCCCACCCUAUCUCUGGUAAAAUGGGAAUAUAAUCCCAUAUCUGGUUGAAUAUAAUCCCAUAUCUGGUUGAAUAUAAUCCCUGAUUGAUUCUUCAGUACAGAAUUAUUGAUGACGUAUUGUUUUUAAUUCUCUUUCGUUUCAGUUUCACAUCCAAAAAAUAGCUCAAGUGGCCUGUUUGGGGGGCCUCCAGAGGAGAUAAUCCGCCCCUGCAUCCACCCCCAGUCAUUCUUCUAACUGCUUAUCCAGGUUUGGGUCACAGGCUGGCCUAGACCCUGCAGAAAUAUAUAAGAAUAAGUGAAUAAAAAAACGAAAUGCAUCCUUACUGAUGAUACCCAUUGUUAAAAUUAUCCUUAUACUAGAUACGAGGGUUGGGGCCAUUCUGGAAUGCAUUCGUCAAAUCCAGUACAAAUCAGGAAAUGGAACUGGAGCUGGGAUUGAAAUCUCCCUGAAGAUCGAAUUCAAUUCAAAUUCUGUUCCCCAUAGUUUUUUUUUUUUUUUUUGCAAUCCCAACUCCAGUUCCACUUCCUGAUUUGCACCGGAGUUAAUGAAUGCGACCCUGCUAAAUAUUACAUAGCAUGAAAGAUUGAAUUACAGUAGCUGAAAGAUUGAAUUAGCCCUUAAAAUUGUCAUUAUUUUGACAAAAUCGGCCCUGUAUUAUAUAGAUACUUACUUACAUCCAAGGAUGCUAUUCUUGUGAAUAAUGUGGUUUUCCUGUUACUACCGGUUUCACAGGUAGAUACCGGUCUCCUUCAGGUUCUGCACAAACUAACUGCAUGAGGCUGCGUUUGUCCAAGCAGACAGAUUAAACUGAACCUGGCAGUAACCCCUCUGCCUGAUUCCUGGAAUGCACUCUAGGAGGUUCAUUGUUGACCUAAACGCUUACUCCUUUCCAGUACAACGAGCAAUCCAGGGAUCAUCACUGAGCUUCCUGAUUCUGGCAUGCCUCAGUGGUGCAGAGGAAGAAGACCGCUUUGUCUGUAGUGCACAGGACUUUGCUGUUUUGUGUAAAGAUCCUACCUGUGCAAGGGCCUGUCCAAGGGGGAAGGACUCACUUGAGGAACCUCGGCAGUGAGUGUAUUCACAAAAAGGUGAUGUCUGUGAUAAAACUCACAGUGUGUGCGGUCAGGUACACAGUGCUACUACACUAUGUUGAAACAUACACAAUACAGGGGAUGGAUAUAUGAGAACAAGAACCCAGCUAUCCUUUUAAAAUCAGGUUCUCUAAAUCUCAUCAAGUUCCUCAAGUCUUAAUCAGGGCUGCAAAUUCAUGUAUCUUCCACUCUUCCUCUCUACUUCACUGGCCCAGAUUUAUAGGAACGAAGAAAACGCCCAGAUUAUUCCAAACACACCAACAAUCCCAUUUGUAUGUUGAAAUACACUUUUUUUUAUUAUGAUCACACAGUGCACAUCUUCAAUUAAACCCACAUGCCAGGGGUUCAGAACUGGCCUCAGGACCCACAUUAUUCCUGGAGCAAUAGUUGCAGCCCACUGAAAAUCGAACUAUCAGUUAAGAAACACUUCCUUAUAUGAUGCUCCUUGUUUAGGGAUAAUAGACUACACUACCCAGCAGGCCUGUUUGUACCAAGAACAAUUUCCUGUAAGCUACCAUGAGCUGUUUGCACACAACUUUGUAUUUAUUGGUUUUGUUUGUGUCUAUGACGUCUUUAUUUGCCCGAUGCAGCAUGCUUGCUCCUUUGUAUGAAACAGGCCACUGUGUCAUAGUAUGAUUAGCAGCACUAAGCAGAUCCAAAGUGUUUAUUUCUAGAUUUUUCCCAGGUUAAGUCAUCUCUGAAAUGACUGACUCCAGUUUUUAACAGAAACUUUGAAAGAUGAGGUUACUUAGUUCUGAAAUAAUAUCCGUCUGGCUCCUGAACUAUUUAGAGGUUUAAUACUCAAUGGUGCAAACAGUCACUAUUUGUUUUGUCGGGUAUCUAAUUUAACUCGGAGCAUUCUAACUUGUAAUCUUACCUCCUAAAUGACUGACAGUGGAAGUGAGUAUCUGUUAAUGAUUCAUGAAGGAGACAGGUAUUUACCUGAGAAACCGGUAGUUAUUUACUGUGAUGUACAAGAAAUGCUGUAGUGAUUAGAGAUCUUUAAAUUCUAGAUGAAAGAGUUGACAUGCCAUCUUUAUGAGCUGUAGAGUGUUGUAGCUCUUCAGUAGUAAAUGCUGUGUGAAAUGAAGACUGGCGCUGGCGUCAGUAUGCCCCUCAAUAUCACACAGAGGUCUUGGUGGAAAUGGAGAUACAAAGAUUGAAAUGCAAGAAGCAUCCAACCAUUGGCAUGAGUUUGGGGAGAAAUAGUAAUUUAAAGACCAAAAAUCUAAAAAUAGUCUGACCAUUAGUAAUCAAUCCAUCAAUUUUCCCAGAACCACUUAUCUAAACCAAGGUCAGAACAAUUCUGGGCCCUCUCUCAAGAACCCGAGAGCACAUGGCAGGGAACACACACAAAGGACAAUUCAGAGACAUCUUUUUUUACCUAAACUGGACUGUGGAGUGAAACCAGUGGGACCAGUGGAAAAACGUUGAAUCUUCUGAGGCAGCAUCAGAACCCCUAAUGCUGGAAGACUGGGAUCACAACUGCUACCCAGUGAGGCAUCACACUGUCCUCGCUGUUCUGAAGAAGCAUAAAGGCUACAAAAUGGAAUGCAAACGUAGGAAGAUCCCUGCACCGAAAAGCAAAUAGAGUUACAUGCUAUUGUCAGACAUGUUGUUCUCAACAAAUUAACUUAUAGUUUCUUCUACAGGAAACCAGUUGUUAUGGCGUAUAAACCAUUAAGACAUUAGGCGUAUUUCCAUGCCACAUGGCGUUCUUCUGACCUGUAAGAGGGCACUUAUUGACUCUGUGUUGGUCCUGCCAGCUCAGUUGAUGUUGGAGAUAAGAGAUUGUUGCCACGGCGCCUAGCUGUGGAGAGGGAGGAGCAUGCAUUUGGGAGUGAAGCCAUUUAACCAAUCAGAAUGCUGAUCUCUCACUGUGGACAUUUCAUUGAUAAAACAUGACUUUUAACAUUAACAAUAACAUAUAAAUGAUGAACAAUAUGCACAGGCAUUUCUCUGUAAAUUGUCAUCUAUGGAAAUCUUUCUUAGCUCCUACCAGUGACCACCGAUAUCAAUUAAAACUGCACAGUUAAGAAAGGAGUUUUAUAUGCCAGGGCACUUAUGCCCAGACAGGUUAUAAAAAGCUUUGCCAAGUAAUUCUGAAAUAUACAAAUAGAACUAUUCAAAAAUGAAGCUGGUUCGUACACAGCCCUGAUUAUGAGAGCAGGAGAGAAUCUGGGUAACAACGUCACAUUUAAUACCCUGGGACUCAGAUAAAAUGUCUGUAACUUGUUAUUAGCCAUAAUUUCACAUUGAAGUUGUUUUUUUCUCUUUAAUUUUAGGAACUAAUGCAAGAACCUGCUAUGCAGCACAGCCAUUCUAACUUAAACAAAGGAGAUGCAUCAGACUGGAGGUAAAUAAGCUUUUCACCAUUGUCUAACACAUUACUACAGUACAGUACUGGAUUUGAUCAACUCAGAACUGACCAUGAUACACAAUUGCAAUCUGUGCAGAUGUUAAUUCUUGGUCCAAAUUAAGUGUUUUUAACCAGUUGCUUAGUGUCAUCAUUUUGAAUGCCUUUUUCUCAGAUAACAUUUAUGUAUUUUGCUGGCAGAAAACAGGUAAGCUUGUUGUUUCCUCUCCUUCCAGUGACAAACUGUAGGUGGAAUAUUACGUGAAAAGGGAAAAGCUGAAAAGGUGAAUGUGUUAAUUUUGACGCGUCGGCUAGUUCCAGAAUAUAAAUGCAAAACAACAUCAUCUUCUGAUGAAAGUUAGGAAUGUACAUUCCACAGAAAGUAAAUUUCACACCAGAGUAAUGAUGUAGCCAAAACCACGUAAACUGAGACCAAGGCUUUACCAAGACCAGAGUGCAUCGAGACCAAGACAAAACCAAGACCAAGGCCCAAGGCAGGGCUAGACCAAGUCAAGAUCAGAAACAUAUUAAAGUUUACAUAACACAACCCACUAUAAAAUGUGGAGCAUAAGCACCAUCUUGGGGCUAGGCAGUAUGGCCUAAAAUUUGUAUCACAAUAUAAUUUGAACCAUGGACAUUUUCUUAUUUCAAUAUAAAUGCUUCUUGACAGGUAAAGUACAGAUAUGGCUACUGUAUGAUGCAAGGGCAUAGGAUUGGUCUCAGUGUGAAAACCAACAGCAAGCACACACAUCGGUUGAUAAACUCUGGCUACUGGCCAGCAGAAACAGUCAGAGAAAAAGGAUGGAGUCUGCACACCAGAUGAUGCUCUCAAAUCGUUUAAUAUUUUGCUACCUUAUGUGACGUUUCAGGCCCAAGCUAUUUAUCAGACAUUUAGGACUGGGCCUUAAAUGUCACAGAAUGUAGCAAAGUAAAAAAUCAGGAGCAUCAUCUGGUGUGCAGAGUCCAUCCUAUUUCACUAUAGCUUUGGUCUAAACCUUCUUGUCCUCAUUCCUGUAACAGCACCCACACAACAACUUAUAUUGUUUAUACCAUAUUUAUAUUAAACUUAUUUAUUCAACAUUCGUUCUCAUUUUUUAACAUCACUUAACACAUUAUUGUGAGCAGUUUUGCCAGAAUGGUCUUGACUGGUCUUGAAAUAAAAUCCUGAGUCCUCCAUGUCUAAGACUGAAUCAAAAUAAAGUCAAUUUUGAGAUGAGACCAAGACCGCAAAAAAAGUGGUCUUGAAACCGGUCUUGAGUAAUACAGUACAACACUACGCCAGAGUACAGUAGUUUAUCUUUCGAAGUAUCAUUGGCACCAAAAAUGAAUAAAGUGGCAGUUUACUUUUGUAAUACAGGCCCCAGGUAAGCGCAGUGAAUAAGGAAGUGCAGCUGUCAGAUUUAAUGUACCUUCACCUUUGAAUUAUGGUGGGAAUGCACGUCCACGGAUGCGAAAAAGUCUGUCAGAGCACAAUUCUUUUCUGCCACCGAGCUGUACUUUGAGGCGGGGGGGUUGCUAAGCCCCAACGUCACUUUGUCCUUUGCUCUUUCUUGCACGGAACAAUCCAGUAUCAGCUAAAAUGAUAACUUUUUUUAGCGGCAAAUGUCCCUGUGUUAGGUUUUCCGUAAACCUCCGGUGUUCCCUUUCCUUAAAAAUUAAUGUCCUCACUUUGAGUCCUUGUAUGAAAUGCUGAGUAAAGGCUGCUUCAUGAUCUCGGGCAGCCGGAGUGUGGCACAUUUGGCAGUGAUUUAUGAAUAGUGCUGUGUGAGUGGUUACCAGUGGGGCGGUGCUCCAGUACACGGCCAGUGGGGCAAUGACACAGUGUCAGCGGAUGGAACAGCUCACUGUAAUUUACACAUAUUUCCUCUUUCUUUAGUUACGGACCCUGAAAGUGUCUCCAAAUGAGGGGGAAAUGCGAUAUUUACAUUUGGGGACCAGAUUCCCCCAUAAUGUGAUACAACCCGGUAACAUUUUUUUUGGUCCCCACAAAAAUGGAAAAGCCAGUUUUAUAAAAGUCUGUGAAUGCAAUCAAAAAACUAAAAGUGCCUAAAGUCCUAUAUUUUGUUUGGUUACUUAUGGUUAAGGUUAUGACUGGGUAGGGGUUAAGGUCGUCAUGUUGGGAUUAGAGUUUUCCCCCGUAGAAAUGAAUGGAGAGUCCCCACAAAGACAUAAUUACAAAUCUAUUUGUGUGUGUGUGUGUGUGUGAAUUUGUGUUUCUUUGUGUUUCUGUGUGUGUGUGUGUUUGUUGGUGUUUGUGUGUGUGUGUCUGUCUGUGUGUUUGUUCGUUUGUGUUUGUAUGUGUGUGUGUGUGUGUGUGUGUGUGUGUGUGAGAGAGAGAGACAGAGAGAGAGAGAGAGAGAAAAUUUAAGUGACCAGUGUUGGCCAAGGGGUGGGUGUGGGUAGUGUGUCAUAUGAACGCCCUUCGCUUGUCCCUGUGUAGUUCUAUGAGCGCCCAAAUAUAGAAGUGUUUUAGUGGUGCUACUUGAUGCCUUCUUUUUCAGAAUAGAGGUCCACAGAAAGCAGCUCUUUUACUAUCUCAUUCUCUCCUCCGUUCUCUUUAGGUAUCUCUCUCUCCCUCCCUACAACCCCUCCCCACUUCUCUGUCCCAUUUUUACAAGAGCUGCCUGCUGCCUUUUGAUGCAAUAUUUGCGACGCUCUAAUUAAUAGCAUAGAAAACAGCAUAUAUAACUAUAAAUGUGUUAUUCCUGAUUGCGUGGAUGCCAGGAACGCCUCACUUUGUAUUUAUCAGCUAUUAAUAUGCGCAGCGUUUUGGAGUGUGAACAGGCGGCGGUCCGCUGAAAUCGUGUGGAAAUGCUUGCCCUGGUUCCCGGGUCCUCGUUCCACACUACCUGUAAAUUGUCCCCUCAGUCUCGUACGUCUCCGCUGCCAGUGGCCCGGGCUGCGGCCCUCCCUGGCUCAUGCACACAGAGAAUUCUCUCUUCUCCUCUGGCUCCCUGCAGCCCAGUGAGCAUUGUUCUGUGGGCUGGCUUCAUGCACCUGGCAUGGCUAAAUAAAGGUCUUUAUUCUGCCGUCGGCAGUGCAGGGCCUCUGUUGUGUGUUGUUCUAAAUGUAUUCGAGGGAACGGGCCUUGAUGCCUCAGCCUGAUAUGCAGGACAGGCUCCCCGGCUCUCAGAGACUCUGCUCUUGUUCCUCUGUGACGGGGCCGACAUUCAAUAAAUACGGCGCAGGGUGCAAUGAAUACAUCCAACCACAAGGUGCUCGAAUUUCAUGCUUACCUUUUGAAUCUUGUUAGUGGAAGCCAUAUUCAGCCUCUUCUUUCUACGGCAUUUCCUUUAAAAGUUGUAUAAUAUGAGAUAUCUUUUGCAGAAUACGGUAUUUUUAUGGUACUGUUGAUGCAAGAGUAUAGCGUAUUCAUUUUCGAGAUUUUUCCCAUGUAAAUAACCCUUGAUCAUAAAGUAUGGCACAUGCUGCAAAUGCAGUGAGGACUCCAUACGUCCAUCGCUGUACAUCAUCUGUCCUAUUCUCUUCACAUAUCUGUGUAUGACUUUACAAAGGCUGUUAAUCCCACCCCCCGUUAAUAUUGAGAUAUGAAAUUGUGCUGAAUUAUUUCCACAUUACUUAGUAGUCCUGAUGUAAUUGACUUUAAAUUGUUUCUCAUUCCAUACCUCAGCUGCCGCUACUUUCUGUUCCCUAUAACUCUUUAGACCUCAGUUGCUUGUAUAUUUUCGCACCAAUUUAAUAGAUUUUCCAAGCUAAUGCUUAUUCUUCCAAUACACUUUCAUUUCAGCUCACACUGCUGGCAUCCCCUCCACAUCUGCCCUGAAGAGAAGGCAGCAUAUAUGUUUUUCUGACACGACUGUGUCGAUUUGAUUUUCUCUAUACAGUGCAGCCCACCACGCGGAGUAGGGCUGCUUCUCUGACAGCUCGCAGCUGUCGGAAAAUACCAGGCACCCGACAGGAGAUAUACUGGUUUGCUUAAAGUCUCCUUAAAUCCUCAACUUAAAAAAUAUGCUGUGGAUUUAAAAUUCUCUCCUGUAGCUCUGCAGCCCCCCAGAACAACAAUUAUGAUUGUUUUAUUAUAGCACGACUUUCAAAGUCAGUAGGUUGAUAUUAGACUCGUACCCAGGAAGAGCUGAAAUCAGUAUAGCACAAGUGUCUGGUUCAGAUUUAGGCUCCCCGUAGCUCUCCCCUCCAGAAAGAGGCAUCGCUUCACAUCCCUGGAGGGCUGUAGCCAAGCCAAGUCGGGUGAAGGUAUCAGACAGGCAUGAGCCCUUCCACUUGCUCGUCACGUGACUGUGAUACAGUUCUCACAUUUGGUUGUGUGUGUAUAUAGCGCUGUGCAGAUGUGUGAGGCAGUUAAACAAAAAUUAGGUAUAAAUGAUCUUCUUGUUGGUGUGAAAUUAUAAUUUUAUGCCCGUAAAGUGUGUCAGCUCGGCCGUUUCAAACCCUCAUCCCAGGAUCUGCAGCAACCGUCUAAUAUGUUCAUGUAAUUUUUGACACUAGCACACUUUGUUUGGCAAAUCAAUACCUCGUCGAUUAAUGAAAUUAAUAAUUUAACUGAGCUAGUAGUGAAAUUUAACAAAUAUAUGGCAUGGCUGAGGUGCACCUGAGGAGAGGUUUGGGAACUCAAGCUGUGUUCAUCUAGUCAAACAACAUAUCUGUGACUUAUUGUAAAGCAAAGGAAAUUCUUGUUAGUUUUGUUGUGCUUUCAACAUUUUUUUCGGCUGCCUACGACUUUUGCACAGCAGUGUGUAUCAGUGGACACGGGGUUUUCUGUGUUUUCUGCUACCCCGUAUCACGGCUACAGCCUAAGCAGCAUAUUUUUGGGCUUGGCAAAGUUUAUCUUUGUGAUGAAGAAGCUAGAACAUGCUGCUUAGUUUUCAUAGCUUAAUGUUAGGCUAAUAUCUAAUGGUUGUUACUGCUAAUCAAACCUUUGUUUAAAAAGGCUUAAUGAGCGACACGUGCGUAUAAAUCCGCCUGGCAUGAGACGACGAGCAGCUGUCGCCACAGCGACAGACAGCGCUAACAAAACACUGAUUAGAUUAUUGAUUGUUUGGUGCCAAAGCUGCAGAUUGUUAGCAGUAUAGAAAGUGAAUGUGUAACAGAGGGGCAAAGCUAGUUAUGGCAGCUACUCUAGUUAUAAAAUUUCAUUCUAAGAAUUUUUCACAAGGCAAGAAAAUGUGUUAUUGCUGAUAUGGGUUAUUAUUGAGACCUGAUGUAACAUUAAAAAUAUCUUGUCCAUUUUC